RNAcentral lists this ribosomal RNA (877 nucleotides) under Allophoma oligotrophica. RNAcentral's name for it is "partial large subunit ribosomal RNA". It matches the Rfam family "Eukaryotic large subunit ribosomal RNA", at positions 68 to 963 of the family's 3401-position model. Lineage: Eukaryota; Fungi; Ascomycota; Dothideomycetes; Pleosporales; Didymellaceae. The record is from RNAcentral.
ACAGGGAUUGCCCUAGUAACGGCGAGUGAAGCGGCAACAGCUCAAAUUUGAAAUCUGGCGUCUUCGGCGUCCGAGUUGUAAUUUGCAGAGGGCGCUUUGGCAUUGGCAGCGGUCCAAGUUCCUUGGAACAGGACGUCACAGAGGGUGAGAAUCCCGUACGUGGUCGCUAGCCUUUACCGUGUAAAGCCCCUUCGACGAGUCGAGUUGUUUGGGAAUGCAGCUCUAAAUGGGAGGUAAAUUUCUUCUAAAGCUAAAUACUGGCCAGAGACCGAUAGCGCACAAGUAGAGUGAUCGAAAGAUGAAAAGCACUUUGGAAAGAGAGUUAAAAAGCACGUGAAAUUGUUGAAAGGGAAGCGCUUGCAGCCAGACUUGCCUGUAGUUGCUCAUCCGGGUUUCUACCCGGUGCACUCUUCUAUAGGCAGGCCAGCAUCAGUUUGGGCGGUUGGAUAAAGGUCUCUGUCAUGUACCUCCUCUCGGGGAGAACUUAUAGGGGAGACGACAUGCAACCAGCCCGGACUGAGGUCCGCGCAUCUGCUAGGAUGCUGGCGUAAUGGCUGUAAGCGGCCCGUCUUGAAACACGGACCAAGGAGUCUAACAUCUAUGCGAGUGUUUGGGUGUCAAGCCCGAACGCGUAAUGAAAGUGAACGGAGGUGGGAACCUUUCGGGGUGCACCAUCGACCGAUCCUGAUGUCUUCGGAUGGAUUUGAGUAAGAGCAUAGCUGUUGGGACCCGAAAGAUGGUGAACUAUGCUUGAAUAGGGUGAAGCCAGAGGAAACUCUGGUGGAGGCUCGCAGCGGUUCUGACGUGCAAAUCGAUCGUCAAAUUUGGGCAUAGGGGCGAAAGACUAAUCGAACUAUCUAGUAGCUGGUUCCUGCGA